UAGAAAGUAGUAUAGAGGAAGUACAGAGGGUUUUGAGCUCUUUGGUGCAGGUUCGUGUCCUGUUUUUCUAG
This 71-nucleotide transfer RNA is filed under the name Ablepharus pannonicus. RNAcentral's name for it is "tRNA-Gln". It matches the Rfam family "tRNA". From Rfam's summary of the family: Transfer RNA (tRNA) molecules are approximately 80 nucleotides in length. Lineage: Eukaryota; Metazoa; Chordata; Lepidosauria; Squamata; Scincidae. The record is from RNAcentral.